GAUGAACGCUGGCGGCGUGCCUAAUACAUGCAAGUCGAGCGAACAGACGAUGAGCUUGCUCCUCUGACGUUAGCGGCGGACGUGUGAGUAACACGUGGAUCACCUACCUAUAUGACUGGGAUAACUUCGGGACACCGGCGCUAAUCCCGGAUAAUAUAUUGCACCACAUGGUUCAAUAGUGAAAGACGGCUUUUCUGUCACUUAUAGCUGGAUCUGCGCUGCAUUAGCUAGUUGGUAAGGUAACGGCUUACCAAGGCGACGAUGCGUAGCCGACCGGAGAGAGGGAUAGGCCACACGGGAGCUGAGACGCGGUCAAGACUACUAAGGGAGGCAGCAGAAGGGAAUGGGCGGCAAUAGGCGAAAGCAUGACGGAGCAAGGGCAAGUGAGAGAUAGAGGUGUUGGGAUCGUAAAAAUGUGUUAUUAGGGAAGAACAGAUGUGUAAGUAAACAUGCACGUAGUGACGGUAACGAGUAAGGAAGCCACGGCUAACUACGUG
Molecule: ribosomal RNA, 497 nt
Filed under: uncultured bacterium
Lineage: Bacteria
Description: partial 16S ribosomal RNA
Rfam family: Bacterial small subunit ribosomal RNA
Source: RNAcentral